UACGGAGGGUGCAAGCGUUAUCCGGAUUCACUGGGUUUAAAGGGUGUGUAGGUGGUCAUGUUAGUCUUCUGUUAAAUUCUUCGGCUUAACCGGGGGCAUGCAGGGGAAACGGCAUGACUAGAGGAUGCGAGAGGUGUGUGGAACUCUAAGUGUAGGGGUGAAAUCCGUUGAUAUUUAGGGGAACACCAAAAGCGAAGGCAGCACACUGGCGCAUUCCUGACACUGAGACACUAAAGCGUGGGUAGCGAAUGGG
Molecule: ribosomal RNA, 253 nt
Filed under: uncultured bacterium
Lineage: Bacteria
Description: partial 16S ribosomal RNA
Rfam family: Bacterial small subunit ribosomal RNA
Source: RNAcentral